This 335-nucleotide long non-coding RNA is filed under the name Capsella rubella. RNAcentral's name for it is "long non-coding RNA (CRUB_LNC003298)". Lineage: Eukaryota; Viridiplantae; Streptophyta; Magnoliopsida; Brassicales; Brassicaceae. The record is from RNAcentral.
UUGUAAUAAAUUCAGUUAGAGAAAGUUGUUUUGUUUGUCAUAACCGCAACGAAGGAGCAAUGGAGCAUGGGUUCAAUUGGAUGUCUCACUCUACUUGACUUGUAAGAGUGACGUAUGAUGACCCAAAAUAUAUUACAUAAAAUAUUACACAACGAGAUAUUGUAUAUACAUAUACGGCCAGAACAAAAAAAAAUAAAAAAAGUUUCUCCAUGAGGUGUUUCACUUUAGAAGUUUUUUAAUAACUAUAAUAUCGUAAGUAACUGCCAUUAUCUUUUUUUCAACUAUAGAAAAUAUAUAUUGGAUUCAAUACUUAUACUGUAUAAGUUAUACAUCAU